UUUAGAUCAUAAAAGCUUUUGUAUCUACAGAGGUGAAAAAAAACUGAUUAUACAGAGUGGGACAGUGGCUGAUUUAGUCUGUAAAUUGCAUUACUGCUACAUUUCUUCUUACAAAAAAUAUGACAAUAAGACAACCUACCUUCACAUUUAUUCAAGGGUAAUAUAUUAGUUCUGUCAGUGAAAUACGAACAACUCCUCUCCUCUCUCACCACCGGUCUUUUAAGCAUGGUUGUGUUUCUGCUCUCUUAAAACACCUGUGUGGAAAUACCACCCACCACCCGAUCUCUUCCUUCCAUUCCAAACAUCUUCAGCAUUUCCGCUCGUAUAAAUCAACCCCGGGACUUUUGCUUAUCUGGCUGUCUGUACUGGAUACUGGAAGGAGACGGUAUACACGCUUUCCCAUGCGCCUGUAUCUUUCUGGAGCUUUCGGGAUGGAUAUUUCAUGUGCUUUUCCUAGCAGAGGCCUCUCAUCAGGUCUCCUGGAGAAGACAGGGAUACUUCCAGGAUCGGUCCUUUGACCUUUAACCCUUAUCUCACUCCAGACCCACGUGGCUUCUCAUGGGAAAUUGUGUUUCUUUUUGCAUAUGUCAUGCUGAAGCAUGUCUAUUUUCCCACUGUCUUUUGACGCACAGGUUUCUUCCUCAGCUAGUCUUACAAAAGUCCCCUUCAGGAUGUCCGUCCACUGACACAAACUCAGUCUCUCAGCUAUCCCAGAUUACUUGAAGGGCUCCUUGAAUUAUCUCUGACUGAUUGACACAGAGCAGACAGAAACAUGAGGUGAGUGUGUUCCUUUUCCAGAACUGUCUACUGCGGCUUUCGACCUCAGACUUGUCCCGUUUCCCUGAAAAAGAAAAAGUAACUCCGAUUAACCUUUGUAUUAGGUUUGGGUUAAACUGACCCAUUUAAAACUUUUAGUAAAAGAAAAAUGACACUUUUGAGAUAUGUAUUUCAUAACCAACCAACUAAACCAGUGUCCAUUUGCCCAUUGUCUGCAUUUUCUUUAUGUCAUUUUGCCUGUAUGGUUUCUUCAAAUAUAAGAUAAAGAUGAAAAAUAAUCAAGAAUGUCAGUUCAAAACAAUAAAUAUCAAUUAUCUACAUGAAAACCUUUUUUCAUUGUAAUUUUUCACAGAUAGACAUGAUUUAUGCCCCCAAUGCCUCCAUCAUUGUGGAUUUAUAUAAAUCACAUCAUUGUUAAAUGUGAUCUAGCAGAGGUAAAUGGCAACCAUUAACUAUAUACAUUGUUUAAAUUGUUUGGAACUGAAAUAAAGAUAAUAUAUACAGUAUUUCUGCAUAUUGCUUAUUUGAUGCAGGUUAACAUUUUCACCCAGAUUAACAGGUGCUAAUGAGUAAAAAAGGGUUAAAGAGGGCACCUGCGAUUUAGGAUGUAAGGCCCUGCUGCUUUGCUGAGCUUUUCUUCACACCUUCAGAGACCAGGAAAGUAAAUUUUAAAAACGGCAUGCCUAGUGUGCCACUGUGAAGUUCUGCAGCUUUAUCCCAAAGGAAUCGUUAACAUGCUUGUUCUUGUGCAGUUUGUGAAUGGUCCAAGUUUCUUUUUUUUUUCAAAUGUCAGUCGCCAGUGACACUGGAAAGACUAUUCCUGUGUCAGGUUUGUGGCCAUUUCCGACUUGCAUUGAACCGCGUGAAUGUGGCUGCUGAUUUAUUUCACCUCAAGAUACUGGCAGGUUUUCUGUGUUCCUUUUUGUUCUGUGCAGGAAGGACAGAAAAUGGGAGAAGUCUUCCAUUUCAGGGGGUUUCAGGGAGAAAGGCAGCCUGAAAGGGAUGCUGUGAAGCAGGAAGCACUUUUUCAUUCAUUUGGCUGGGGGGAUGUUGCCGUCCAACGCAGACUGUUUUCCCUGAGCCCAAAUGCUGAACGAAUAUGAAUCUCACGUUCCUGUUUCACCAUACUUUUUUCGUUAUCUUGUGUACCAGAUUUAAGGAAGUGGUCAGUUUGGCUUAUUGAAGGUGAAAUGAACAGGAAAGACGUUGGAGUCAAACUAAUGGAACGUCUGAGUCAAAGUAAUGAAACGUGUGGAUCCUGUGGUGGGGGACCAAAUCCCAUCCUACUUCACUGCAUUCAAAUGAAAGAGCUUUAAAGAAACAUGCCACCAUGAUGUUUCAAGUGUAAAAAUAUGAACGGGUUAUUUUUAACCUACAGAGACAUCUUUAUGUGUUUUUUAUUUUUGCAAAUUCACUCUUCAAAAUUGAUUUUUGCAUUGCUUUUAUUGUAUUGCUCUUAACAGCAAUGUAAGCUUUUAUCUUGUGAAAAGUGAAAGUGAUGCCCCUUAGUCUCAAUCCCACUUAGCGCUGACAUGUUUCAAACGGAUGUGCUGACAGACCAAGAGCAGCUGAAAAUACAAGCCAUUUCUAGUACUUGUGGAAAAGUGAUAGAUGUCACAUUGAUUGGUAAUGAUAAGAUAUUACAAUCUUCAGAUGCAGAAAGAAGCCUUGUCCUGGCUGCUUCCUUGACCUUCUGGUGAACAGAUGGCCACGUGGUCAUUCCUGCGCCACUGUGAGUUCAUUCGGAGGUAACUCUGGUUCAUUCAUCAGACCUCUUCUGUGCUGACACAAAUUAGGAUAAGCAUAACCUAUAUACCCAUUUACAUCUCUGGAAUUUGUGGAAUAGAACAUAAUUUGUUAGAUUCAGAGUUUGCACAAAGCCCUUUUGUUUAUUAAUGCAAUGUUUUAAUUUUGUUUUGGCUAUUAAACAAUCAUAGAUUGUGUGUGUGUGUGUGUGUGUGUGUGUGUGCGUGUGGGUGCGUGUGCGUGUGUGUGUGUGUGUAACUACAAAUUAUUAUUAUACAGCAAGCAUUUGCAUGGUAGGCCAUGGUCACUAUUAGUUGCCAUAUGCAUUGUUAAGUAGUCAAAGGAUAUCACUCAUUGCAUGAAUCACAAGUCCAGUCAGCGCAGAAAAGCUUACCUUGCAUUACCCUCCCGCAAUAUUCCCAUACAUUGAUGGAGGCCACCUUUUUUUUGUUCUUGGAGUGAAAUACACACAAUCGGGGGAAGUAGCCUACAGAUUGCAUCCUUCCCAAGAAAAACUAAUGCUCAGCAAGCAGCGAGAAAGAAGAGCAUUGCGCUCCCCGGGGGGGCCUAUCACUGUGAGAAGAUCCUGUGCUUUCUCAAGCGACGGCACGCUCCCCCGCUGAUGUUCUCGCGGGGACCCCAGGAGCGCAGCGCCUCUCGCUGGCCCCGUGGAAGCCCCAGCCGUUCCUGUCAGGAAGCUCGCGGCCUCGCGGCCCUUGACCGGCUCCAUUGAUGCCAGGGGCGCGGCCCUUCCAGCUGAGCGGGUGGCGUCUUGAACGCUCGGGUCUGGCGGCUUCUCAGGAGGAAUGGAAUCUGCGACAUGGCGGAGACUUCGUUCAUAAAACACAUUUUUAAGGGGUUUAAAUCUUUUCGAUCCAAAAUGUUUAUGUUUAUGUGACUGUGCAUGUACGCACUGCUUUAUAUUUCUCCUAAGGGUGAGAAAUUAUAUGUUGCAUAUAUUCUAUAUGUCUAUAUGUUCUGUUUAAUGUUAAUGCUACAUGAAGACUUUGAGAUAUGAAUGCCGCUAGGCCUGUUGAAUCUUGGAAUUAAAGUGAAAGAGCAGGAAUCCAGAUUGUUGGAUCUUAUGCAGGCUUAAUUUUCCAGAGAGGGUUCACCACAUACUGUACAUUUUUAAAAAGCUACCAUCCAGUCGUUGCAACAACUGACCAAAUUUGUUAUGUGGGGAACAAUCAAUGUAAUCAGACCAGCCGUAACUCAAUGAUUUAUGUAUUUGAUGAUGAUUUAUUUGUAAGAGAAACCUCAAAUUUUGUUUCAUGUAUCUUCAAGGUGUCUUUUGGGGCGGCAUUGUAGUAUUGGUAAGGAGCUGCUCUGGUCAUCUAAAAGUCUCAGGUUUUAUUCCAGGGUAGAACAUGAUGAUGUUGCACCCUUGAGCAAGGUACUUAACCUGCAUUGCUUAUGUAUAUACCCAGCUGAAUAAAUGGAUGCAAUGGAAAUGCUAUGUAAAAGUUGUGUAAGUCGCUCUGUAUAAGCGCGUCUGCUAAAUGUCUGUAAUGUAGUGUAGUGUUUUCUGAAGGUAAACUGUUAGAGGUCUAUAUUUGUCCCUGCUUUUGCUAACUAUGUAUCUCACCUGCAGUGUGGGGAGCCCUGGUCCUCUGCCCAGGAGUGUUGAGACCUCCAAAGAGUAGGACAUGCAUUUUAGUCCGCACAAGAUAAAAGCAGGGACUAGUCUAUUUAAGGUCCUGUGGCUCAGGUCUGAAGAGCCUCUUGCCAUCCUGUUUCCUCUUAGAAGCUGUCUGGUUGGUGUCUGAAGUCUCACUCACCUUGCUGAUGCUGACCAGCCCGUCAAAUGACUUCACUCUAAGCUCUGGCCAUUCCCCGCUUCCCACCCAACACUCCACCAAUCUCUCUUUUAGGUGAUCCAUCAUCUCUUGUCUCUAGAGAGUUGUCAGACUUACUUACCAAAACCACUUUUCUUUUUUAUGCACUUGGGGGGGGGUGGGGUACCAAAAUGUUGUACCCCUCAUAAAAACUAAUGAAAAAUCAAAGGCUUCAUUUUCUCUAAAUAUGAGAACUUUUAACUGUUCCACUGGUGUUAGCAUCCAAUUCACAGGUGCCACUCAACCUUUACGGCAAUCUCAGUGGACCCUGUGUGCCAAAGGUACUGUAGAAGACCAAGAUCCUCAAUAUCAUAUUACUUUAAUUAUUGACCGCUCUCUAUUAAACAGUAAUUACACUCUAGAUCACAUUUUUUAAGCUGUAAGUGUAUUUAUAUGCAUACUUUAUAAUGAAACAUUUUAAUCUAUACAGCUGUUUAAACAUUUCUGAAAUAGUAUCAUUUGGCAGAAAAAAAAACUGGUAGAAAAGCAUCUUGGUAGCUAGUACCCCCUAACAUUAGAAAUUUUCUUUCUGCUUUCCACUCUGGCCCUGUCCCACUUAUGAGUACUACUUUGGAGGUACUACUACAUCAUAUAAAUUUUAAUCAAGAUAUCCGGCAGGAAAAUUGUUGCCGCUCACAAAUUAAUCCGUUGACUUUUUAAUUUGAUAGCACCUGAUUGUUAAGACUCACUGAUGUCCUUGUUCUCGGCCUGGAAGAUCGGAACAACAUGGUGGCCUGUUGAUAAACUUUCUCAUAUUCACCCCAAACUGCCCACUAAAAUAUGUUUCUGGAAACAUUUGAGGUGAGUAAUAAGCCAUGUAAUUGCUGAAUCUUGAUUCAUAUCUGAUCUGCAAUGCCUAGUUUGACAGUUUGAUCUUAGUUUCAUGUGCCUGGUGUAGCAGGGUAGUAUGAAUUAAUUUGCAUAGAAAAUACUUUAUGCAAAUGAGAUGGACAUGUACAGGAAGCAUUCUUCAAAAUUGUGUAGCAGACAGAGCCAGGCUGAAAGAGCGAGUGCAAUUACUCUUUAAACGCUACCAUUCUAUAGAUGUAACAGUUUGACAUAUACAUUAAUACACAGUCAUUGUAGCUUUGUUUGAAGGCAAAACAUUUUUUUCAUUUGCUAACUUGUUAAUACUUACUUGUUAUUUAGCUUCUACUAGCUAAACAUGUGGUUUGUAUGUAAUUAUUAUUUUACAAAUUACUUACAAAUUGUUAGAAAAAAAGAAAUUGUGGAUAAUGCUGAAAAUAUUGUUGGGACAGUCCAUUGUCACAAAAAAUUCUAAAUUAAGAAUUCCAAUAUAGUGAAUAUUCAUACAUGUGAAACAUUUUUGUUGUUCCCAUAUCCUCCUUCGACCUACAAGCAGCAAUUCAUUCAUGUCCCCUGUUGACAUGAGCCUUUGGUCUUAAUUUCAAAAACCAUAUAUUCUACUAUGCUGAAACCUACACUACAGGGGACAUUAAAUAAAAAUAAAAUUAUGUUCAAAAAAUAUUUUCCCUGCAACAUGUUUUUUGCUAUCCAAGAUUUUUUUCUGCAGGAUUUCAGAAGGAUAUUGUUCACAUCACAGACAUCCCUUGAAUGGGUUUGUUGCACUCUCUAGGGUACACGAUGUUGACCUUUUCACAUUUUCUUUACUUGGCCUUACGUGUUGGCAAGGGUGCAAGCUAUUCUGAUUGUUUAUUUUGCCACAGAGACCCAGUGUUUGUUGGAUUCCAAGGCUCCACCCCAACCUUGAAAAACAACCUACCGACGCCACUUGAACAUGUCACGCUCAGAGGAACGCCCACGGAGUAAAGCCAACAAGCAAGUCAUGCUAACCUGACGCUGGUCUUUGCUGUGGUCUGUCGGGGGGACGUCAGCUGCAACAAAUGAUCAGGCUGAAUCCCUCCUUGCCUUUGUGGAUAUCUUCCUGAGAAAGGAUGCAGGCCUGUCCAGACACAUGUCCUGUUGAUAAACACGCACUUCACAAGUUCCGCCCUGGUCCCCGUCCAAAGUUUGCGACAAGCUAUAUCGCGGGCAAGACAUCGUCCCCGAGAAGGACCUCAUAACUCAUAAAAUCUGUCCAACGUAUUGUCAUAUUUCUACAUGUAUCUUCU
This is a long non-coding RNA of Anguilla rostrata (American eel), 6454 nucleotides long. RefSeq lists it as uncharacterized. The transcript has 3 exons. The record is from RefSeq and is a predicted model, not a curated record. Lineage: Eukaryota; Metazoa; Chordata; Actinopteri; Anguilliformes; Anguillidae.